RNAcentral lists this transfer RNA (106 nucleotides) under Ganoderma leucocontextum. Its description in RNAcentral is "tRNA-Arg". It matches the Rfam family "tRNA". From Rfam's summary of the family: Transfer RNA (tRNA) molecules are approximately 80 nucleotides in length. The record is from RNAcentral. Lineage: Eukaryota; Fungi; Basidiomycota; Agaricomycetes; Polyporales; Polyporaceae.
GGCUACCUGGCGCAAUGGUAGCGCGUUUGGCUUCGAUCGCCUAACGGCUUCCAACUUCCGUUUCGGGGCGACCAAAAGGCUGCAAGUUCGAUUCCUGCGGUGGUCA